UAGGGAAUCUUACGCAAUGGGCGAAAGCCUGACGGAGCAACGCCGCGUGAGUGAUGAAGGUCUUCGGAUCGUAAAACUCUGUUAUUAGGGAAGAACAAAUGUGUAAGUAACUAUGCACGUCUUGACGGUACCUCAUCAGAAAGCCACGGCUAACUACGUGCCAGCAGCCGCGGUAAUACGUAGGUGGCAAGCGUUAUCCGGAAUUAUUGGGCGUAAAGCGCGCGUAGGCGGUUUUUUAAGUCUGAUGUGAAAGCCCACGGCUCAACCGUGGAGGGUCAUUGGAAACUGGAAAACUUGAGUGCAGAAGAGGAAAGUGGAAUUCCAUGUGUAGCGGUGAAAUGCGAAGAGAUAUGGAGGAAAACCAGUGGCGAAGGCGACUUUCUGGUCUGUAACUGACGCUGAUGUGCGAAAGCGUGGGGAUCAAACAGG
RNAcentral lists this ribosomal RNA (429 nucleotides) under Actinomycetes bacterium. Its description in RNAcentral is "Actinobacteria bacterium partial 16S ribosomal RNA". It matches the Rfam family "Bacterial small subunit ribosomal RNA", at positions 355 to 776 of the family's 1533-position model. Lineage: Bacteria; Bacillati; Actinomycetota; Actinomycetes. The record is from RNAcentral.